UUCGCAAUGCCCGAAAGGGUGACGGAGCGACGCCGCGUGGGUGAGGAAGGCCUUCGGGUUGUAAAGCCCUGUCAGGAGUUAAGAAAUGUAAGUGCGCUAAUAUCGCAUUUAUUUGACGAAGGCUCCAAAGGAAGUCACGGCUAACUCUGUGCCAGCAGCCGCGGUAAUACAGAGGUGGCAAGCGUUGUUCGGAAUUAUUGGGCGUAAAGAGCACGUAGGUGGGUUUGUAAGUCAGAUGUGAAAGCCUUCUGUUCAACGGAAGAAUUGCAUCUGAAACUGCGAGUCUUGAGUGUAGGAGGGGAGAAUGGAACUUCUGGUGGAGCGGUGAAAUGCGUAGAUAUCAGAAGGAACGCCGGCGGCGAAAGCGAUUCUCUGGCCUAUUACUGACACUCAGUGUGCGAAAGCUAGGGGAGCAAACGGGAUUAGAUACCCCGGUAGUCCUAGCCGUAAACGAUGGGCACUAAGUAGAGGGGUUUU
RNAcentral lists this ribosomal RNA (477 nucleotides) under Candidatus Scalindua brodae. Its description in RNAcentral is "bacterial SSU rRNA". It matches the Rfam family "Bacterial small subunit ribosomal RNA", at positions 365 to 832 of the family's 1533-position model. The record is from RNAcentral. Lineage: Bacteria; Pseudomonadati; Planctomycetota; Candidatus Brocadiia; Candidatus Brocadiales; Candidatus Scalinduaceae.